AGUGAACGCUGGCGGUAGGCCUAACACAUGCAAGUCGAACGGCAGCACAGUAAGAGCUUGCUCUUACGGGUGGCGAGUGGCGGACGGGUGAGGAAUACAUCGGAAUCUACUUUUUCGUGGGGGAUAACGUAGGGAAACUUCCGCUACUACCGCAUACGACCUACGGGUGAAAGCAGGAGAUCUUCGGACCUUGCGCGAUUGAAUGAGCCGAUGUCGGAUUAGCUAGUUGGCGGGGUAAAGGCCCACCAAGGCGACGAUCCGUAGCUGGUCUGAGAGGAUGAUCAGCCACACUGGAACUGAGACACGGUCCAGACUCCUACGGGAGGCAGCAGUGGGGAAUAUUGGAAAAUGGGCGCAAGCCUGAUCCAGCAAUACCGCGUGGGUGAAGAAGGCCUUCGGGUUGUAAAGCCCUUUUGUUGGGAAAGAAAAGCAGCAGGUUAAUACCCCGCUGUUCUGACGGUACCCAAAGAAUAAGCACCGGCUAACUUCGUG
Molecule: ribosomal RNA, 492 nt
Filed under: uncultured bacterium
Lineage: Bacteria
Description: partial 16S ribosomal RNA
Rfam family: Bacterial small subunit ribosomal RNA
Source: RNAcentral